AACAGGAUUAGAUACCCUGGUAGUCCACGCUGUAAACGAUGUCGACUUGGAGGUUGUUCCCUUGAGGAGUGGCUUCCGGAGCUAACGCGUUAAGUCGACCGCCUGGGGAGUACGGCCGCAAGGUUAAAACUCAAAUGAAUUGACGGGGGCCCGCACAAGCGGUGGAGCAUGUGGUUUAAUUCGAUGCACCGCGAAGAACCUUACCUACUCUUGACAUCCAGAGAACUUAGCAGAGAUGCUUUGGUGCCUUCGGGAACUCUGAGGCAGGUGCUGCAUGGCUGUCGUCAGCUCGUGUUGUGAAAUGUUGGGUUAAGUCCCGCAACGAGCGCAACCCUUAUCCUUUGUUGCCAGCGGUCCGGCCGGGAACUCAAACGAGACUGCCAGUGAUAAACUGGAGGAAGGUGGGGAUGACGUCAAGUCAUCAUGGCCCUUACGAGUAGGGCUACACACGUGCUACAAUGGCAUAUACAAAGAGAAGCGACCUCGCGAGAGCAAGCGGACCUCAUAAAGUAUGUCGUAGUCCGGAUUGGAGUCUGCAACUCGACUCCAUGAAGUCGGAAUCGCUAGUAAUCGUGGAUCAGAAUGCCACGGUGAAUACGUUCCCGGGCCUUGUACACACCGCCCGUCACACCAUGGGAGUGGGUUGCAAAAGAAGUAGGUAGCUCAACCUUCGGGAGGGCGCUUACCACUUUGUGAUUCAUGACUGGGGUGAAGUCGUAACAAGGUAACC
Molecule: ribosomal RNA, 730 nt
Filed under: uncultured bacterium
Lineage: Bacteria
Description: bacterial SSU rRNA
Rfam family: Bacterial small subunit ribosomal RNA
Source: RNAcentral